This 274-nucleotide ribosomal RNA is filed under the name uncultured bacterium. RNAcentral's name for it is "partial 16S ribosomal RNA". It matches the Rfam family "Bacterial small subunit ribosomal RNA", at positions 523 to 796 of the family's 1533-position model. The record is from RNAcentral.
AUACGGAGGGUGCAAGCGUUAUCCGGAAUCAUGGGGUUUAAAGGGUCCGUAGGCGGACUAAUAAGUCAGGGGUGAAAUCCCACAGCUUAACUGUGGAACUGCCUUUGAUACUGUUAGUCUUGAGUUAUAUGGAAGUAGAUAGAAUGUGUAGUGUAGCGGUGAAAUGCUUAGAGAUUACACAGAAUACCGAUUGCGAAGGCAGUCUACUACAUAUAUACUGACGCUAAUGGACGAAAGCGUGGGGAGCGAACAGGAUUAGAAACCCUAGUAGUCC